CUCCUCGCCAUCCCGUCCUCCUCAUGCAACACAUCCCGACCGUUGAUUCUGCUGUCGUCUGAUUCCUUCAAGGGCCGUAGAAAGGGUUCAUCAAUCACACGUGCACGUUGAUGAUCUUAUCAACCUCCUCCAUGGCUCCGACCCUGUCAGGGUCGAGCUCAACCGCCUCGAGAAUGAGGUCCGAGGUCGGGAUUUCCUCAUCUUCUGUUAUAUCUCGGCUGUGGAUUCAUCGGUUUUUUGCUCGAUUUUGCUAGGUUUUGGGGGUUUAGGGCUUGAUUGGGGCAGGUUUAGGGUCUUUGAGGUGUUUUGGAUGUGUCAGUGCACGGCCGCCCAACCUCCAUCGAAAGCCGUUACCAUCAUAAGAGGCCGCCCGUCCCUCAUCAUCAACAACCAAACACAUAUCCACCUGCAAUCGUCCACCAUCAGUUCUGAUUGGCUCUAUUACAUUUCCUUGAUCUAGAGAAAUUCAAGAAUAAAGAUGAUUUUGUUGAAAAAUACAAGAAUCUAAGCUCCUUUAAUGACAUUGAGCUUGCUAAUCUUCACCAGGAAUUGAGGCCUCACAUUCUUAUAAGAGUUAUCAAGGAUGUGGAGAAGUCUUUACCUCCAAAAAUUGAGCACAUCCUCCGGGUUGAAAUGUCUCCCCUUCAGAAACAGUAUUACAAGUGGAUUUUAGAACGUAACUUUCAUAACUUGAACAAAGGAGUCUGCGGAAAUCGAGUUUGCACUUAUUUCAAAUAUUUAGGGCCCGUUUGUCAUUGAAGAAAUGAGCGCUUGUGA
This is a long non-coding RNA of Magnolia sinica, 777 nucleotides long. RefSeq lists it as uncharacterized. NCBI's taxonomy places the organism in Eukaryota, Viridiplantae, Streptophyta, Magnoliopsida, Magnoliales, Magnoliaceae. The record is from RefSeq and is a predicted model, not a curated record. The transcript is spliced from 4 exons.